This is a non-coding RNA of Caenorhabditis elegans, 138 nucleotides long. The record is from Ensembl. Lineage: Eukaryota; Metazoa; Nematoda; Chromadorea; Rhabditida; Rhabditidae.
CUAGUCAAAAGACUCAAAAACUAUAUGCCAACUACCAAAGAUCUUGGGUGCUCGGCGAGAAAGCAAAGCGAUGUCUGAAUAUUUGUAAGACGAAGAAAAGGGACCCACAAAAGCUUCAAAGGUUAUUCAGAGAACAGA